This 1622-nucleotide small RNA is filed under the name Pongo abelii (Sumatran orangutan). Lineage: Eukaryota; Metazoa; Chordata; Mammalia; Primates; Hominidae. The record is from RNAcentral.
GUCCUGGUGCUUGAUGGUCGAGGCCAUCUCCUGGGCCGCCUGGCGGCCAUCGUGGCUAAACAGGUACUGCUGGGUAAGUCGCUGCUCGCGGCCCCUCUGUCAUGGGCCCCCGCUGGCGGUCAGUGAUGAGCAACAUUCACCAUCUUUCGUUUGAGUCUCAUGGCCAUGAGAUCAACCCCAUGCACCGCUCUGAGACCUGCCAGCCACUCUUCCCCGGGGUUGGGGACUCCAGGCUCAAGAAGUAAUUAUGUAUUAGGCUAAGUUUUCAUUUAAACAUGAACUUAGUUCUGGCGAGUACUGCGCUGUGUCUGGAGGGUGACUGCAUAGGCGGUGGUAGAACCCUCAGGUGGCUCAGCCCUUCUAAGACUUUCCCUCCCUCUAGGCCGGAAGGUGGUGGUCGUACGCUGCGAAGGCAUCAACAUUUCUGGCAAUUUCUACAGAAACAAGUGUAAGUUAAGACCUGGGAGGAGACCUGGAGAGGGUCUCCCUGUGGGGUGUUGAGGCUCUGAAAGCAAUUGCAGCCGUGUUGGGAGAGGCUACUUGGGGUUUCUGAGAAGGCCCUUGGAAGUGGGGUUUUGGGGAUGCUGGUAGACUGGGCAGGCCUCACACUCUCUCCUCUCCCUAGUGAAGUACCUGGCUUUCCUCCGCAAGCGGAUGAACACCAACCCUUCCCGAGGCCCCUACCACUUCCGGGCCCCCAGCCGCAUCUUCUGGCGGACCGUGCGAGGUGAGCAGAGCGUGGGGACUGCAGGUGGUGAUGGGCAGGCGGCCAGUGAUGAGAACUUCUCCCACUCACAUUCGAGUUUCCCGACCAUGAGAUGACUCCACAUGCACUACCAUCUGAGGCCACUCCAUGGGCCCACCUCAGUGGGGAGGGUGGGCGUCCUUAUGAGGCCCUCUGACUGGACCUGCUAUCCGUCACUCAACAGGUAUGCUGCCCCACAAGACCAAGCGAGGCCAGGCCGCUCUGGACCGUCUCAAGGUGUUUGACGGCAUCCCACCGCCCUAUGACAAGGUGAGCUGUGCCAACCCCUGCAGGCAGCGGCCUUACCUGUGGCGUCCAUGAUGUUCCGCCACUACCUACAUUGUUUGAUCCUCAUGAAAGCAGCACUGGCUGAGACGCCGGCCCAGCCAACCUCCUUCCCUGUCUGUCCCUCCCGGGCUCUAAGCCCCUCUCUUUCUCUAACAGAAAAAGCGGAUGGUGGUUCCUGCUGCCCUCAAGGUUGUGCGUCUGAAGCCUACAAGAAAGGUGAGUCCCAGCUUACACUGCGCCAUCUACUUUGGAGAUUUCAGGCCUGCUGAGGGACCUGGGGCCCCGGAGCCUGGCAGAUGAUGUCCUUAUCUCACGAUGGUCUGCGGAUGUCCCUGCGGGAAUGGCGACAAUGCCAUUGGCUUAGCUGAUGCCAGGAGGGUUGGUUUGCCUAUCUGGGGCGCCUGGCUCAUGAGGUUGGCUGGAAGUACCAGGCAGUGACAGCCACCCUGGAGGAGAAGAGGAAAGAGAAAGCCAAGAUCCACUACCGGAAGAAGAAACAGCUCAUGAGGCUACGGAAACAGGCCGAGAAGAACGUGGAGAAGAAAAUUGACAAAUAUACAGAGGUCCUCAAGACCCACGGACUCCUGGU